This is an RNA transcript of Cephus cinctus (wheat stem sawfly), 4209 nucleotides long. It is a transcript of the gene named cytoplasmic polyadenylation element-binding protein 1, with no coding region annotated. The transcript is spliced from 13 exons. NCBI's taxonomy places the organism in Eukaryota, Metazoa, Arthropoda, Insecta, Hymenoptera, Cephidae. The record is from RefSeq and is a predicted model, not a curated record.
UAUUCAACUGCGUGCUUGAUUUGAAUUCAGUAGGAUCAUCGGAUUCCACGAGGGGGCGUACUUUGUCGCAUUCGCGCCGGUGUUCGAAAUCUCCAGUCCUGGUUCGCGAAUCCGUUCGGUCCAGACGGAAGAUAUUCACUUCAGUUUGCAGAGCGAAGCAACGUGGAGAAGAAUGGGCGUUCCGUCUCCAUCGUUGCUGCUGCGUAGAGAUUCUUAAACGACGAAACGCGUUCAUACAGUCGUAUUGCGAGAAUAAUAGCAAGUGUAGUCAGAAAGCUACAACAUAUACCGAACGAACGCACGUUUUGCAAAUUAACUAAUAAAUGUGUCCCCGUGAACGUGUUUGCUGAAAUCGAGAUCAUCCCGGCGUGAGGACGAUCCACGUUUAAUAUUGAUUUUAAUGUGACACAUUUUCGUUAAUUUAUUAAUUUAUUCAAUUCUAUAUAUUAAUUUUUCAUUCAAUUAACGUCCAUUUUCACGCCUCUCUAUACGACAGCCAAAUCGUCCUUUGUUUCUGUAACGAAAACGUCGUAAGAAGAUCAUUCGUCGAAAAAUCGUGUUCAGUUUUCUCACGAACUUCGUGCUAGAAGAUUCGUGUUAACUGUACGGUUUUUUGUAAUUCCUUCGUGAAUUGCUUGAUAAUCGUCGUGCAUAAUCGCGAAAAAUCAGACAAACCACACGUCGAUAUGCCUACUCUGCUGCAACAGUUAGCAAUGUCUUACGAUGCUGAAGGAAACACUAAAGACACGCUAGAUCGCAACGAAACCAUUAAUAUGCAACCAAAGCAACAACCGCGUGAGCGGGAUCCCCUGCAGUUGCAGCAUCGUGAUCUAGACCAGCUGCAGCUACGACAACGAGACAGAGAGCAAAUGCAACAACAGCAUCGAGAGCGCGAACAGCAACAGAGGGAACGUGAGAAGCUGCAGCUUCAACAGCGUGAACAACUGCAGAUUCAUCAGCGCGGGCAGCAGCAGCUGCAACACAGGGAGCAGUUACGUGAACAGGAACGCGAACGCGAGCAGCUUCAUCAAUUGCAAACAAUUAAUAAUCUUUUGCUGGACCUUACACCAGCGUCUUCGACUUCGUUUCUUCAGGGCCAAUCGCGUGACACUUCCGGUGCAGCGAACUUGAAUUCUGGAGUUGACGGAGAUAUGUCGAUUUCCGAUUUAUUCGGAUUAGGAUUACCUCGCGGUUCUCUGAUGAGUGAACAAUUAUCAAGCGGCUCGUCGAGCUUUCGUCAUCAUCAAUAUCGUCCCCAGCGACACAAUCAAUCAUUGAGUCAUCAGCAUUAUCAGUGCGACGAUAGUCAUGGCUACUAUGGGUCAACAAAUCUGGAUAUGCCAGGCUCACCGAAUUCAUUGGCUACUCCAGGCACACCGAGCACUCCAGGAAGUGUGUACUCCAAUCCCUACACAUAUGACGCUGGAGCAGGAAGCAAUGCACACACAUCUUCUCCGAACAAUCGUUCCUAUUUGCAACACCUGGGAGGCUCACCCUCCUCGCCAAUCCACUCACAGUAUUAUGGAAGGCCUAUUCGUGGUUCGCCACCAUACAGUGACUGUGGUAGCCCUACAAUGGAAUACGCCAAUCGUUCGCUAGGAUGUGGUGGCUCACGUUCGAAUUCCCCAGCUGAUUCAGAGAUCAGUGGAGUCAGCAGCAUGGACAGUUCGCUAUCUGAUAUUAUGAAUUCUCUGUCGCUGGGUUCUACAACGCAUUCAUGCUACUCCCCUUCAUUGGGAUCACUUGUCUCGACGGACAUGGACAUGUGCAAUGGAAGCAGAGCUGCUGCGUAUCAACGACUGGCUGCCAAGAAGUACCUAUCUUCUCCAUCGCAGUAUCAUCAGCACCAACCCUCAUCGAAUUGUUGGCCAACUGGAAAUCCACGGUUCAUGUCAUGCGCCUCGAAUUCAUUUCCACCUGAAUCGCCUAUCUCGCUCGAUCGAGCUGCACGUUUUCAUCGGAAUGCCGCUGCUGUCUGCAAUCCCACCUGCACCUGGAGUGGCGUUUUACCUAAUCGCACUCAGAAACCUUCGGGAUACUCUUCCAAGGUGUUCCUCGGUGGAGUCCCCUGGGAUAUCACCGAAUCUAUGUUGGUUGCAACAUUCAAACAAUUUGGUCAGAUACGCGUGGAGUGGCCUGGUAAAGAUCAAUCAGCUUCGCAACCGAAAGGAUACGUGUACAUUAUAUUCGAAUCCGAAAAACAGGUGAAGGCAUUACUCGCUUCUUGCACUCAUGACUUUACUAAUGGCGGCAGCUGGUAUUACAAGAUCUCUUCGAAACGAAUGAAGGGCAAGGAAGUCCAAGUGAUUCCGUGGAUACUGAGUGACAGUAACUACGUCAAAUCUUCAUCGCAAAAAUUGGAUCCACACAAGACUGUAUUUGUAGGGGCCCUUCAUGGUAUGUUGACAGCUCAGGGACUGGCUAAGAUCAUGAAUGAUCUUUUCAAAGGCGUCAUUUAUGCCGGAAUUGACACUGAUAAAUACAAGUAUCCUAUUGGUUCGGGGCGUGUGACAUUUAGCGACAGCCUCUCCUACAUGGACGCCGUGUCAGCUGCGUUCAUUGAAAUCAAGACCGUGAAAUUCACAAAAAAAGUUCAAGUCGAUCCUUAUAUAGAGGAUUCCGUGUGCUCCAUAUGUUCUGUGCAGCAGGGUCCUUAUUUCUGCCGUGAACCGUUGUGCUUCAGAUACUUCUGUCGUAGCUGCUGGCAGUGGCAGCACGCGGUAGAGCCAAUGCGUCGACACAACCCACUGUCACGUAAUUCCAAAACUAACCGGGUAGUUGGAUUGACAUCCAGCGUCGGUGUGAAUGGCGGCGGUGACGAUAUGAAACCUACGUUCUUCAGCAACAUCAUGAUUUAAUUGGUGCGCUCGUGAGCGCACGACGCAGUCAAAAUCUAAGUCGAUGCAAGCGCGACAUUAACUCCGCGUUCGGUUGAAUUAUUUUUCUUUUUUUUUUUUUUGACUACUUAUUCCGUGCACGGACGUUGCACCUUAUUAUGUGAUUUGUUUUCCGGUGCGGUGCAAACUGAGUUUUUAUCGUAGGGCAGCUGGUCUGACGAUGCAGUAGUAAUAAUAGAGAAAUGCCUAAUUUGGCAGUUGGUUGUUGGCAGCACAACGAUUAAUUGUUCGUUAUCGUUAUUAUUGUGCGAUUUAUAUUUGUCAAUCGCGAGAUAAGCCGGGUAGUUGAUAGGAAGAAUCGUGAUUAAUUCAAGUUCCUAUGUAUAACGCGAGUGACGCCGCGUUGUGGACGUCACCGUGAACGAAAGUGCUUUUAUUUGGUACAUAUUAUUUAUAGGGACUGGCUCUCUCACUCGUUAAUACUAUUCUUUUUUUAUCCUUAAGAAGUAGAGUUGUCGAUGGUACUUAAAACCGACGCCAGAUCAUGCGGCGAUCGAUACGUAUAAGAAAAAAAAACCAAACAAACAAGCGUACGAAGUUUUGUUUAAUUGUCGGCUAGAUCAAACUUUUAUACUGACAAUACUUUUUUACGUGAUAAAAUGGCGAGUCAAAAAUGAAUAACGACGUCGUAAAAAUGAAACAAAAAAAUUUGUCUUUGUACCAAUCGACCAAUCAUUAAUUAAUUAAUCGAUUAAUUAAUUUCUCUAAUCGGCAUUGCGAACAUCGUAUUAUUAUUUAUAGAUUAUUACAAAAAUAAUUAAGUAUUCGCGAUCGGUGGAAUCUGAACGCAGACCUCUUUGUUGUUCGUUAAUUUCCACCAUACAGAUAUCCAUUAUUGAAUCGAUUUUUCGAUUAAUUCCUAUUUGAAAUCAAUUACUUCCAAUUUUUUCAAAAGGUUGCGCCCGCGUCUGCAUCGAAAUGAUUGAUAAGCGAUGCUGCGUUUAUUUUGUACAGCUAUUAUUAAUUGAUACCACCGAUUUAGCAGGCCACUAAAAUCCCAUCAUAGGUCCCACUACUUGUCCCCCAAUUAAAGAUAGUUAAUAUAUCGUAUUGCCUUCCGUUAUAGUUUUACGUUAGAUUGUACAGUGCAGAGGCGAUAAUUAUUAAUAAUAACAACGGAGGAUACUCAAACACGCUAUAAGCCUCAAAAUGGCUAUAAAAAUUAUACCAUUAGUAGUCGGAGCUCGUGGCUCACUGGACUGUUUAAACUGUUGACGAAAUGGAGUAGUACCCGGUCUACGAUUCUGGAUUGGAUUGUAGUGAAUCGAUUAUGCUUUUAUUUUUUGUUACGAUAUUAUUAUUAUUAUUAUUA